Cannabis sativa is the source of this 686-nucleotide long non-coding RNA. RefSeq lists it as uncharacterized. The record is from RefSeq and is a predicted model, not a curated record. The transcript is spliced from 2 exons. NCBI's taxonomy places the organism in Eukaryota, Viridiplantae, Streptophyta, Magnoliopsida, Rosales, Cannabaceae.
AACUUUGGUUUGAUUCAUCUACUCAUCUACCACCAUCUUGGUUCACUGAAGAAGACCUCUCAGUCUAUGCCUCCCUGUAUGAAAAAUCAAGAUUUUGUUAUGCUUUGCAGAUUCCAUAUAGGUGGACUGAGGCAAUUUGGGGUUUUUCGCCAAGGAUGGUGGUUUGGGUUAAUGGCCGACGGUGGUGGUGAUUUAUGGCUGAUUUGGUUUUAGUUUUUUUUAGGUUUUUUUUGUUCUAAACAUGUUUUGAUUUAUUUUGGAUUUGUAUUGCCUCUGAUUUUUUUUUUUGGAUUAAAAUUAAUGUUAACUUCCUCUUAUCUGAGGUUAAGGGGAAAGAUCUCGCCGAGCUAUUUGCAUCCGGAAGGGAGAAGCUAGCAUCAGUCCCAUCCGGCGGUAAUGGUGCAGUUGCUUACUCUGCACCCACAGGUGGAGUCGCUGCUGCUGCAGAGUCAAAGAAGGAAGAAAAGGUUGGAGAGAAAGAAGAAUCAGAUGAUGAUAUGGGUUUCAAUCUUUUCGACUAAAAGCUUUGAUACGGAGAUUUUGAGGUUUUUGCUAUUUGAAUGUUGUUUUUAUGUUCUAUUUUUAUUUAGAUAUUUAGAGAAGGAAGCAAAAUUUGAGACUGUAUUUUAUAUUUAUUUAGAUAUUUAGAGAAGGAAGAAAAAUUUGAGACACUUUUACUGUAUAAA